CGCCUGUUUAUCAAAAACAUCGCCUCUUGUAAAAAUAAAAUAAGAGGUACCGCCUGCCCUGUGACUAACAGUUUAACGGCCGCGGUAUUUUGACCGUGCAAAGGUAGCGCAAUCACUUGCCUUUUAAAUGAAGGCCUGUAUGAAUGGCAUAACGAGGGCUUAACUGUCUCCUUCCCCUAGUCAAUGAAAUUGAUCUCUCCGUGCAGAAGCGGGGAUAAAAACAUAAGACGAGAAGACCCUGUGGAGCUUUAGACGAUAAACAGACCAUGUCAAGGACAAUAACAAGUUACUCAAACAAAUUGGCUACUGUUUUAUGUCUUUGGUUGGGGCGACCGCGGGAUAACAAAAAACUCCCAUGAGGAUAGAGAAAACCCUAUUCUUAUAACCAAGAGCUUCCUCUCUAAGUAACAGAAUAUCUGACCUUAAUGAUCCGGCCUGGCCGAUCAACGGACCGAGUUACCCCAGGGAUAACAGCGCAAUCCUCUUUUAGAGCCCAUAUCGACAAGAGGGUUUACGACCUCGAUGUUGGAUCAGGACAUCCUAAUGGUGCAGCCGCUAUUAAGGGUUUGUUUGUUCAACAAUUAAAGUCCUACGUGAUCUGAGUUCAGACCGG
RNAcentral lists this ribosomal RNA (613 nucleotides) under Oryzias latipes (Japanese medaka). RNAcentral describes it as "partial 16S ribosomal RNA". It matches the Rfam family "Bacterial large subunit ribosomal RNA", at positions 1797 to 2619 of the family's 2925-position model. Lineage: Eukaryota; Metazoa; Chordata; Actinopteri; Beloniformes; Adrianichthyidae. The record is from RNAcentral.